UACGUAGGUGGCAAGCGUUGUCCGGAUUUACUGGGUGUAAAGGGCGUGCAGCCGGAGAGACAAGUCAGAUGUGAAAUCCACGGGCUCAACCCGUGAACUGCAUUUGAAACUGUUUCCCUUGAGUGUCAGAGAGGUAAUCGGAAUUCCUUGUGUAGCGGUGAAAUGCGUAGAUAUAAGGAAGAACACCAGUGGCGAAGGCGGAUUACUGGACAAUAACUGACGGUGAGGCGCGAAAGCGUGGGUAUCGAACAGG
This 253-nucleotide ribosomal RNA is filed under the name uncultured bacterium. RNAcentral's name for it is "partial 16S ribosomal RNA". It matches the Rfam family "Bacterial small subunit ribosomal RNA", at positions 524 to 776 of the family's 1533-position model. The record is from RNAcentral.